Oryza glumipatula is the source of this 197-nucleotide non-coding RNA. The record is from Rfam. Lineage: Eukaryota; Viridiplantae; Streptophyta; Magnoliopsida; Poales; Poaceae.
AUACCUUUCUCGGCCUUUUGGCUAAGAUCAAGUGUAGUAUCUGUUCUUAUCAGUUUAAUAUCUGAUAUGUGGGCCAUGUGCCCACUUCGAUAUUAAAUUUAUUUUUUGUGGGGGAGGGCCCACCACAGUGGCUUGCCACUGGGGCCCUCGCGCGUCGCCCAGGCGUUGCACUGCUGCCCGGGCCUGGCGCACCCCAA